Molecule: transfer RNA, 65 nt
Filed under: Nesophrosyne kanawao
Lineage: Eukaryota; Metazoa; Arthropoda; Insecta; Hemiptera; Cicadellidae
Description: tRNA-Cys
Rfam family: tRNA
About the family: Transfer RNA (tRNA) molecules are approximately 80 nucleotides in length. Their secondary structure includes four short double-helical elements and three loops (D, anti-codon, and T loops).
Source: RNAcentral
GGUCUUAUAGUUUAAUAAAAAACUUUAAAUUGCAAAUUUAAAAAUGUUCACAUUUACUAAGACUU